Molecule: ribosomal RNA, 303 nt
Filed under: uncultured bacterium
Lineage: Bacteria
Description: partial 16S ribosomal RNA
Rfam family: Bacterial small subunit ribosomal RNA
Source: RNAcentral
AGCAGUAGCCGCGGGAAUACGUAGGGUGCGAGCGUUAAUCGGAAUUACUGGGCGUAAAGCGUGCGCAGGCGGUCGUGUAAGACAGGUGUGAAAUCCCCGGGCUUAACCUGGGAACUGCGCUUGUGACUGCACAGCUAGAGUAUGGCAGAGGGGGGUGGAAUUCCACGUGUAGCAGUGAAAUGCGUAGAGAUGUGGAGGAACACCGAUGGCGAAGGCAGCCCCCUGGGCCAAUACUGACGCUCAUGCACGAAAGCGUGGGAGCAAACAGGAUUAGAUACCCCUGUAGUCCCUGUCUCUUAUACA